Molecule: ribosomal RNA, 322 nt
Filed under: uncultured bacterium
Lineage: Bacteria
Description: bacterial SSU rRNA
Rfam family: Bacterial small subunit ribosomal RNA
Source: RNAcentral
GAUGAACGCUGGCGGCGUGCCUAACACAUGCAAGUCGAGCGAAGCGCCUUACUUGAUUUCUUCGGGAUGAAAGUAUUGUGACUGAGCGGCGGACGGGUGAGUAACGCGUGGAUAACCUGCCUCAUACAGGGGGAUAACAGUUAGAAAUGACUGCUAAUACCGCAUACGAUCUGAGGAUGAAAGCGGGGGACCUUCGGGCCUCGCGCGAUUGGAGCGGCCGAUGGCAGAUUAGGUAGUUGGUGGGAUAAAAGCUUACCAAGCCGACGAUCUGUAGCUGGUCUGAGAGGACGACCAGCCACACUGGGACUGAGACACGGCCCAG